AUUGAACGCUGGCGGCAUGCCUUACACAUGCAAGUCGAACGGCAGCACGGACUUCGGUCUGGUGGCGAGUGGCGAACGGGUGAGUAACGCGUGAGGAACCUGCCUUCCAGUGGGGGACAACAGUUGGAAACGACUGCUAAUACCGCAUAACACAACGAGACCGCAUGAUCUUGUUGUCAAAGCUUUAUGUGCUGGAAGAUGGCCUCGCGUCUGAUUAGCUAGUUGGUGGGGUAACGGCCUACCAAGGCGACGAUCAGUAGCCGGGCUGAGAGGUUGAACGGCCACAUUGGGACUGAGAUACGGCCCAG
This 308-nucleotide ribosomal RNA is filed under the name uncultured bacterium. RNAcentral describes it as "bacterial SSU rRNA". It matches the Rfam family "Bacterial small subunit ribosomal RNA", at positions 30 to 334 of the family's 1533-position model. The record is from RNAcentral.